UUCACUAUUCUGGUUGUGACACAGACGGAGAAGGUGACAGAAGAAGAGGAAGACGGGGGGGGGGUCUACAAGGAGAGGGGCGAGACAAGUGAGGAGAAGCUGGCUACAGAUCAAAGAGAAGCUUUAAAAGGAGAGUGGAGACCGAGGAGAGAGUCACAUAGCCGCAAAAGCAAAGGAAGUUCCGGUUCAAACACCUUCCGAAUACGAACGAAGAAUAGCACAGAGGAAGUGGAUGGAGGUGAACUUAAAGGCAGGGAAGAGGAGGAAAUUGAGAGGUGAAUGAAUGAAAGGGAAGCUGCAAGGGGGGAAUGGACAGAAGCAGGAGCAAUAAAUAAAAAUGCGAACAGGAAGGAGCGGUCCAUGCACAGAUGCAGGUGGAGGAAGCGAGGAUCUGUCAAACGGCGGGCUGGCUGAGGAACUGCGCUCUGACCUUCACCAGACAAGCUGCUGCCUCCGACAGGAAUUUACGCAUGCUCUCACUUUGUAUUAUUGGCUUAGAAAGGGGAGAGUGUAUACGCAUGCACAGCUUUGCAGGCCCACCUGGCCAUAUGUGCGCGACAGAAUCUUUGCGUGUGAGCGAACACCAUUAGCCGGGCGAGUGUGAAUGCGGGCGUGUGGACGCGGGCCAGACACAGCGUGAACAGCUCAACGCAAAGCAGACCUUCAUCCCGUAACCCCCUACUACUGUAUAUCACCCGCCAUCAUAAAACCGGCGAUUGCAUCUAACUAGAAGCUUUAUGAGACUCUCAGUGGUCAAAACUGUGUCCGUCUCCCCCCAAGACUCUAAAAAUGGAGUGUGGGUGUAUGUAUUAAAGAAAGAGGAAACGUAUCUCCUAACAAGUGAUUCAAAUGUUGUUGUCCAGAUGCUUUUAGGGGAAAAUAAAGCGAAAUAUUUCCAGGUAAUUUGGGACUCACCAGGGACAACUGAUUUUGUGAUGCGAAAACACAUUUUCUUUCACCGUGUACUUUUCUGCAUUACUUUUCAAAUGAUUCUAAUUCUUUUGAGCUUAUUCAUCUUAUUUGUGGUUGUUUUCAAUGGUUUUCAGGGGUUUUGGACAGUUACUUACACAGCUCAACAUUACAUAACUGUAUUAAAUGCAGCCCCUGGGGACAGAAGAAGUAGGGGAGACACAUUUUGACUGCUCUACUUACGGGGCCAAUGCUGUAACCAAAAUAAAUUGCUUCCUUGUAGCAAUCCUGCAGUACUAAUGCGGGAUAGCUGCACGUAAGGCGGAAUUUCUACAAUAGCAACCACAGCAGGUUCAUUUUUAGUGAAUUGAAUAAAUAUCUGCUGUGCGGGUCUGAAUGUCAGUAACUUAAUAAAUGUACA
Gasterosteus aculeatus aculeatus (three-spined stickleback) is the source of this 1330-nucleotide long non-coding RNA. RefSeq lists it as uncharacterized. The record is from RefSeq and is a predicted model, not a curated record. NCBI's taxonomy places the organism in Eukaryota, Metazoa, Chordata, Actinopteri, Perciformes, Gasterosteidae.